UAUAACGACGUAGGUGAUCAGGAGGAGUAACACGUAACCGAAAUGGCACGCCAACUGCAGCAGCUUGCUAGUGCGCGUACCUUUGCGUACGAUUAUUGUUUAGAAUAUCAGUAUUGUAUUGAUUAUGCCUUUUCAGUAGCGGGACUAAAGAAACAGUUUCAUGAAGCAUGCCAGCUUUUAAAUGAAAAGAUGAAAGGAGCUGAAGGAACAACACUGGAUGAAGAUGUGAACACCUUUAAAUUUAAUUGAAGUUGAAGUAUGAAGAAUUUCUGUUUCUGUGAAUGGUUAUGUUAUAAGAGUAUGAGGUGACAUCCAAAAGUCAUAAAGGUCUUUGUAGACUGUAGUUGUAGACUGUUAAUACCUUGACUCCUCAAACCUUCUGCCAACCAUCAACAGUCAUGGGCACCUACAAGCAGCUGCCUAGUGCUGUAAAAGCUGAAAUAAUCAAUGCCCACAAAGCAGGAGAAGGCUAUAAAAAGUUAGCCAAGCGUUUUCAGCUAGCUGCUUCUUCAGUUCGUAAUGUAAUUAAGAAAUGGCAGUUAACAGGAAUGGUGGAUGCUCAGAUGAGGCCUGGAAGACCAAGAAAACUUUCAGAGACAACUGCUGGUAAGGUUGCUGGAGAGGCUAAUCAAAAGCCCUGUUUUGAUAUAAAAGACCUUCAGGAAGAUUUAACAGAUUUGGUGAAUACUCCAACUCUUCAGACCAUCUCCCAACCAUCAACAGUCAUGGGAAACUACAAGCAGCUGCCUAGUGCUCUGAAAGAGGAAAUCAUUGAAGGCCACAAAGCAGGAGAAGGCUAUAAAAAGUUAGCCAAACGUUUUCAGGUAGCUGCUUCGUCAGUUCGUAAUGUGAUUAAGAAAUGGCAGUUAACAGGAAUGGUGGUUAAGUUCAGGCCUGGAAGACCAAGAAAACUUUCCGAUAGAACUGCUGGUAAGAUUGUUAGAAAGGCUAAUCAAAACUCCCGUUUGACUGUAAAAGACUUCCAGGAAGCCUUAAGAGACCCAAGAACAACAGGUCUGAAAAAGAAAUGUGUCAACCUCACCAAACAAAUAAUGGAUAAAAUAUAUAUCACUGAGGACCAAGACACACUUGAGAAACUUUCAGAAAAAUUAAGCACCCUGCUGGAAGACCUCACAUCUCCUCCCAGUGAUGACAACGGAUUGCCAUUCCAGCCACACUGUCACAUAGGUCGACUGAAAGACUGAACUCCAGGUAAUUGAACAGAGUGGGCGCCCAUGCUGAAAGCAUGCCAUAAGCCCACAGAGUGGCAGGCCUGUAGAUUCAGUGGCUAUCACCCUGCCCCCCCCCCGUACAGGGUCAGAACUUGCAUGUUGGUUCUGGAAAAGGUGAAUGUGAUUCCUUGGAUCUGGCCUGUUGUGCCUCAUAUGCUUCCUUGUUUGUAGGAUUCUACAGCCCAAUGCCCUCCUCAGGCAGGCUGUCUCAGUUUGAACUUUAUAGUCUUUUAGUGGAAUAUCUAAUGCAAGUUUGCAAAUUUGCUGUGGUUUGUUGUUUGCUUAAAUAUUUGUUUAAAUGGCAUAAGUUUGUAUCAUGGUAACAUGUGUGGGGUUAGCUCUCAGGCUUCUAAUAACCAAUGUACAUGACGUAAAUGUAAUUCCUGAAAAUAGAGGUUUCUAUCUCAAUGUGAAACUGUGUUAAAUGUAAAUGAUGACCAUUAAUGCAUUCUGUAUGGGUUUAAAAUCACAAUUCAGAAGUGUUUUAACAUCUUUACAAAUCUGCCCAUCAGUAGCAAAGUAGUUUGAUAAUACUUGACAUUGCUGUACAGGUUUUCAGUCUCAUGGUUUAAGCUGCAUUAGCAGAGGUAGACCUUACUUUUAUCCAUUAAUUCCAACCAACAGAUGCUCAGUACAACACAUGACCUUCUUGACCCAGAUUAGUACAUUCCUGAUGAGAAUGCAGGAGUGAGUUUGUCACAGACAGGUAACAGGCAUAUUGGAUACUGAAAUGCCUUUUAAUUUACUUAAUUAUGUUAGCUUCUUGUAAAAGUAGGCCUACAGUAAGUUCUGAUAUAUUGUAGGCCUACCAUAUGUUAUAAAAGACAGUUUACCAUAACUGUAGUCUGACUUUCUGACAGUCAGUGGCAACACGUCACAUUCAGGAGAACAGCAGUUGAGCUGUAAAACAUAAGUGUACCAGUUAAAGGGGAACUUGGCAACUAUUUCAACUGAAUAAACCCAUUUAGAAAUC
Alosa alosa (allis shad) is the source of this 2205-nucleotide long non-coding RNA. RefSeq lists it as uncharacterized. NCBI's taxonomy places the organism in Eukaryota, Metazoa, Chordata, Actinopteri, Clupeiformes, Clupeidae. The transcript is spliced from 2 exons. The record is from RefSeq and is a predicted model, not a curated record.